RNAcentral lists this ribosomal RNA (301 nucleotides) under uncultured bacterium. Its description in RNAcentral is "partial 16S ribosomal RNA". It matches the Rfam family "Bacterial small subunit ribosomal RNA", at positions 509 to 807 of the family's 1533-position model. The record is from RNAcentral.
CAGUAGCCACGGUAAUACAGAGGGUGCAAGCGUUAAUCGGAUUUACUGGGCGUAAAGCGUGCGUAGGCGGCUUUUUAAGUCGGAUGUGAAAUCCCUGAGCUUAACUUAGGAAUUGCAUUCGAUACUGGGAAGCUAGAGUAUGGGAGAGGAUGGUAGAAUUCCAGGUGUAGCGGUGAAAUGCGUAGAGAUCUGGAGGAAUACCGAUGGCGAAGGCAGCCAUCUGGCCUAAUACUGACGCUGAGGUACGAAAGCAUGGGGAGCAAACAGGAUUAGAUACCCCCGUAGUCCCUGUCUCUUAUAC